Molecule: ribosomal RNA, 252 nt
Filed under: uncultured prokaryote
Description: partial 16S rRNA
Rfam family: Archaeal small subunit ribosomal RNA
Source: RNAcentral
ACCGGCGGCUCGAGUGGUGGCCACUAUUACUGGGCUUAAAGCGUUCGUAGCUGGCUUGUUAAGUCUCUGGGGAAAUCUUCCGGCUCAACCGGAAGGCGUCUCAGGGAUACUGGCAGGCUAGGGACCGGAAGAGGUGAGAGGUACUCCAGGGGGAGGAGGGAAAUCCGCUGAUCCUGGGGGGACCACCGGUGGCGAAGGCGUCUCACCAGGACGGCUCCGACAGUGAGGAACGAAAGCUGGGGGAGCAAAACG